UGUCCAGGUGCUCUCCUGCCGCCAACACAGCCCUAAUGAGCUCUGCAUAUUCAAAACACAAGUAAUUGAUAGUCCAAUUUAAAGUGUGCAGAGGCCAAAUUUCUUUCCAGACGCUGAAGGAAAAACACCAGCUGAGGAAGAAUGAAGAACUGCCUGUUCUAAGUUAUUCUCCUUCUGUGGUCAUUCGAGCACCAGGAAGACCAGGUUUGCCCCAUCAAGUACCUCAAGAAAGAAGUCAAUUACCUAAAGAAGUCAAGCAAAGAGGAAAGGACAAAAUGAAAAUCAUGUACCAGGGUACACGUCGAGGCUCCAAGCUGGAAUGAAUAUGGCCUUCAACAUACUCUUUAUCAUACAGAAGCUUGUGUUCAGGGCUUGGAUUUUGAAGUCAGACAGACCUGGAUUAAAAACCAAUUCAACUACCUAUUACAUAUGUGACCUAUCUACAGUUACUAAGCGCCCACUGUGUGCCCUGGAAGGGACUAGACUCAGCAGGAAAAACAUCCAGGCAAGUGGACAGCAUUUGCAACAGCCCAGCAAUAAGAAGGACCAUAUUCUACUUGGGAAAAGGUAAAGUCGUUUCAUAUGGACGGAGCCUGCCAGGAAACCUGUCAUUCAACCCUUUGCAAUAAAACAGCUCCUCAUGAAUGAAGCAAAAUAAAUCAGAAGUUGUGGGCUUUUAAACUCACUAAAUGAAAGCACAGCAUGCAUGCAGCCUCCCUCCAAAUUAAUCACCAGAUUAAAUGCAAGAUGUGCACACCAAAUCAAUAGCUUGUGACGGGGACCUCCUGCCUGUGCUUCAGGAAAAUUCCAUUUCCUUUCAGAUGUUGUCGCUUGAAAUGUCAGGAAGUUUCCAUUCAUCACCCGCCCUUGAAAAUGCCACCAUCACCAUACUUCAUGUUUCCUUGCUUUCUUUCUUCAGAGGAAUCCAAGCACCUUGCAGAGGGAGCCCACUCCUUGUCACAGACUCUCCUGGAGGCUGAAACAGGGGCAGUCUGCACAGAGGAGAGGUGUAGAGAGGCGCGAUUUAGAAAUAAGAAAACCAAAUCGUAAAGAAGCCUAAUGUCUUGUUGCAACAUCUGAAAGAAACAAGAUGAAUAUAUUCCACUAGGUGGGAAGCUUAGGGUAGUGGGAAGAACAUGGAUUCAGGACUUUGAGAAACAUGGAUUUAAAUUUUGAUCCCCAAUGCCUCUCUGCACUUCACUGUUAUCUAUAAAAUAGAGGAAAUAAAAAUACUAUACAUUCAAGUCUUAACACCAACAGUUAACUAGUUGUGUAACCUUGGACAAGUUAUGUGACCUCUCUGUCUGAGCAUUGUCAUUUGUAUAUGAGAUCAUGGAGGUUAAAUGUCCAACCUGUUGUCACUGUGCACCUCAAAAUAAUAAAUAAAACAUUUCAUCUCUCA
This 1402-nucleotide long non-coding RNA is filed under the name Homo sapiens (human). RNAcentral's name for it is "HSALNT0007679". The record is from RNAcentral. Lineage: Eukaryota; Metazoa; Chordata; Mammalia; Primates; Hominidae.